Callithrix jacchus (white-tufted-ear marmoset) is the source of this 148-nucleotide unclassified non-coding RNA. It matches the Rfam family "Metazoan signal recognition particle RNA". From Rfam's summary of the family: The signal recognition particle (SRP) is a universally conserved ribonucleoprotein. It is involved in the co-translational targeting of proteins to membranes. The record is from Ensembl. Lineage: Eukaryota; Metazoa; Chordata; Mammalia; Primates; Cebidae.
GCUGGGUGUGGUAGUGUGUGCCUGUAGUCCCAGCUACUCUGGAGGCUGAGGCAGGAGGAUUGCUUGAGCCCAGGAGUUCAGGGCUGCAGUGAGCUAUGAUCAUGCCACUGCACUCCAGCCUGGGCAAGAGAGUGAGAUCCUGUCUCAU